RNA transcript from Cucumis melo (muskmelon), 2092 nucleotides. It is a transcript of the gene named transportin MOS14-like, with no coding region annotated. The record is from RefSeq and is a predicted model, not a curated record. The transcript is spliced from 6 exons. Lineage: Eukaryota; Viridiplantae; Streptophyta; Magnoliopsida; Cucurbitales; Cucurbitaceae.
UUUUGGUUAAAGUGCCCCCUCUUAUUCUCUCGUCAUUGCUCCAUGACCAUCUACUUCCUCUUCUUCCUCUGCUAGGCACAACAACAACAUUGCAGCAUCCCAAAUUUCGUGCUCCUUCCUCUUCUCCCUUGCUGAUUCAAGCUCUCCCUUGUGGAUUUUUCUCUCCAAAAAUCACCAACAAUGGAGGGACGGAUGUUUUGAUUGGUUUCGUUACUCUUUUUUCUCUCUUUUUAGUUUUCUUGCGUGGAGAGGAGAAGACAAACACCCUUUUCUCUCUUUCUCUCUCUAUCUCUCUUUAAAAAACCCACUUACACAAUCCAUUCUCUUCACCCAUCCACCUAUUUUCUUCACCCAUCUACCCAUCACCCGAUAUUCACAACCGCAGCCCCCACCCCUCAAACGUCAAAUGUCGGUCCUACCUCCACAAGUGUUCUUUUUCGCGUGCAACCCAUGAUUUCAGAAUCUGCUCCUUUGAAAGGAAGUUGAGCAUUGCAAUUUAAUGGCUUAGUGAAACUGCUUCUGGUUUCAAGAUUCCAGGAACUGUGCUUGCAUCACAUCCUUUAGUACUCACAGCUCUAGCGAGUUUAAAUUCUAAGCUUUUAUCAGAGGCAUUUAUAAACGAAGGAGGAUCUUGAUCAUCUUUUGUGGGUUGGCACGUGGUAGUUUGUUUAUUCCUUGUGGCAUUGACUUUUGAGGGUUUGGGGUUUGGAAAAUUCAAUGAAACAGUAAUGUCUGUGGAUUUUAAUUUAGUUUGUUUUUAAUUUCUAGAUUCAGGAUGAAGAAGAUGUGAAGGCCAUUGCUCAGUUAUUUGCUGACAUGGGAGAUUCAUAUGUUGAAUUGAUUGCUACUGGUUCUGAUGAAUCGAUGUUAAUAGUCCAUGCUCUACUUGAAGUUACUUCAGACCCUGAAUAUGAUAUUGCCUCCAUAACCUUUAAUUUUUGGCACAGCCUGCAGUUGAACUUGACAAAAAGGUUAUUUAUUCUAAGCCCUUUAGAGUCAACUAUGAUUCUUUUAGACCACAAUCAUAUUGAUCGUAUUUUGUUAAAAGCUAAUUUAUUAUAUGCUCAUCUCAGUUUUUCUAGUGUUGUAUGUAGAUUAUGCCAUAAGUUCAUAUGAUUAUACUGCCUCAUAAGUUCAACUUUCAACUUUCUCUGUUUACAAACAUGAAGGUUGAUGAAGCACUUGGGAUGCCAGUUUUUUGAUGGUGUACUUUUCCCUCAUGAUUCCUUAAUAGAAUUUUUUUUGUCAAGAAGGAUAAAUGAUUUUAUUAUUAUUAUUAAAAAAAAACUAUGGUGAUUGCCCUUAAUAGAAUAUAUUUUUCUUUGAUCGUUAAAAAUUGAGAUUGCUUUGUUGUAAAUCUUUGUUAUUUCCUGACAUUCCUAGUAUUUAAACUUCGGUGUUGGAGGUGGUGGUGCUGAUGGAGGUAAGGAGUUUCAACAUCAUUUUGAUUUUAUAACUUGUUUGGGGGUAGCAAACUAUGUAUUAUGGGGUGGCCGUGAGGGUUAUCAGACUCUAUUGAACAUUGACAUAGGGAGAGAGCUUGAUCAUAUGAUGAGUUAUUAUAAAAUCUUCAGCCGGAGAGAAAAGGUAUAUGGAAAUAGUUUUCUUGUGUUUUGUUAUUAGAUUAACCAUUAUUUAUUGUUUCUCCCAUUCAAAACAGAACUAUAAAGAUUGUUAAGAAGUUAGGAAAGACAUAUAAGAAUCGACAACAGUUUUAUCUUUUUGAGCAGACUGGUGGUAGCAUUCCAAAUAUUAGUAUUGGGGUUCCAAGCAUGAGCAGAGUAUAUUAGUAUUGGGGUUCCAUACUUUAGGUCCGAGUUGUGGCUUGACUGGUAGCUGAUUCAUUUGUGUAUUAUAGAAUAUUAACAAAGUGGAUCAUAAAAGAGAGAUUUUGCAAGAAUCCAUUGGAGUAGUGAAGCCAUAUUUGUGGCAAUUGAUUGAUUUAUAGGCCUUUUUUAAGAUUUGGUAGCCAAAUUUUGGUUCAAAUGUACUUAUUUAAAUAGUUUGUUCAUUGCUUCAUUGUACAAACACUUUACGAACAAUUGUACAUAUAUUAAAGUGUAUAUAUAUUAAAGUGUUCACCAUUUCUUUC